UAUGUCUUUCUACCAAGUCUUUGUGGGCC
Molecule: non-coding RNA, 29 nt
Filed under: Mus musculus (house mouse)
Lineage: Eukaryota; Metazoa; Chordata; Mammalia; Rodentia; Muridae
Source: RNAcentral